UUGCAAUUACAGGCAUGAGCCACUGUGCCUGGCUUUAACCCAGCGUUUUUGGCCAACUUACAGAGAAGCUGCAAGAGCAAAGGAUCCUGCAUUCAUUCCACGCCCCCUCCCUCUGGUCUCCUUUGUGCUGGGCAGGACCUUGGCCUCUCUCUGUGUUCCUUCACCUUGGCUUCUGAAGAAUACGCAUCUGGGAUUUCUUCGUGGUUGGAUUCGGGCCCUGCGUUCUGGCAGGAAAACCACUGGAAUGACACUACGGACUUCUGGUGCAGCUUCUCAGUGUUGGGAGGUCCACGGUGGCAGUCCGGCCCAUCAUGGAUGAGAAACCCAAGGGCCAGAGAGGGGAUGCAAUGGCCAUAGCAGCAGCAGAGCAGGGACUGAAUCCCAAGGCUGAUGACUUCGACUUCGGUGCUCCAGCAUUUGUCUCCCCUGGAUUUCUCAGCUCGCAGGCUCGAUAACUCUCUUCUCUCCCCAGACUUGUUGGCAGGCAAGAGGAAUAACUCAUGUGAGUCAAAAGCAAUUUGCAAACAUAAAUAAUUUUCAAUGCCAGGAGAGGAGACGGUGGGAAGAUGCAUGGAAGGUUGAGGGGAACACAGCCAGUCCCAGGUCUCCCUCGCCCUGCUGGGCACUUCCUCUCCCCUCCUCGGGAGAGUUGGAGUGCGCCAUAAACAAGGCAGGAAACGGCUAUCAUGAUGCUCGCUUCCGCUCUUCCUAGAAGGGAUUCUGCUCGCCGAUCUCUCCUCUCCCCACCCCCUACCAUGCACAGGAUUGUGUACUCCCAGCUCCUCUGGAGGCUCAGAGGAGGAGAGGGUCCUGCUGCACUGGCCUGGCCUCCCUCUACCUGGCUUGGCUUUUUCCUUGUCCUCAACCCCAAACAGCAAGUAUCCUAACAAAGAAUGGAUAGCACGCUAUUAUUUUUGUGACAUUCAUCUCAGUGUCAUAUUCCAAAGGAGCUUGACAUAAUUGUCCUCUUCCUAAUUUGGACACUGGUUUAUGAAAGCGUGGUGACCACUGGAGACUGUUCUCUGACUGUGUGACAGGUAUUCGCUCCUUUCCACAGGGUACUAAGGCUCACGUGGCCCUGACAGCCAGCACAGUCUCUUAGGAGGUUCCGGAGGGUGGCAGUGGGAGUGAGCGUAGAGCCGUGUCAUUUUGAAGGGCUGAGAGCGUUCCACACACCUUCCCAAAGCCCACCCCAAGAGGCUGUCUAACGCAGGGAGAAACAAUGAGAAACCAGAUACCAUGGAAUUAGUGAAGAAUUUCUCAGAUGAAACAGGAAAGGGAGGAAAUCCAGAGGGGUUUACAUUACACCUGGCUCAGGUUGAAAGGAUUCGGGGCCAGUUGUUGGCAAUAUUAAACUCCAGGCUGCGUUUGAAAGGGUCCUUCGCUCGGGCAGCCAAAGAGAGGCGUUCCUGCCAGGACAGGUUGCAUCGCUACAGAUCUCCAGCCCUACGUGCACACACACGUGCACACACACACGCAUGCACACACAUGCAUCUUGGACAUCUCUUGUUAAUGUCAGCCCUCUGCCCCAAACUAGAUUUGAAAACUUGUAGGCAAUCAAGUUUUCUGGUUAAGAGAAAAAAUCACAGCGAACAGUUAGUAAGCUCUUAUGUGUCAGGCCUUAUCCAGACAGUUCACAUGAAGACCAGAUCCAAAAAUCAAAGUGUGCUUUGUCCUCUGUG
Cercocebus atys (sooty mangabey) is the source of this 1682-nucleotide long non-coding RNA. RefSeq lists it as uncharacterized. NCBI's taxonomy places the organism in Eukaryota, Metazoa, Chordata, Mammalia, Primates, Cercopithecidae. The transcript is spliced from 3 exons. The record is from RefSeq and is a predicted model, not a curated record.